This 467-nucleotide ribosomal RNA is filed under the name uncultured bacterium. RNAcentral's name for it is "partial 16S ribosomal RNA". It matches the Rfam family "Bacterial small subunit ribosomal RNA", at positions 28 to 507 of the family's 1533-position model. The record is from RNAcentral.
GACGAACGCUGGCGGCGUGCUUAACACAUGCAAGUCGAACGGAAAGGCCUCUUUCGGGGGGUACUCGAGUGGCGAACGGGUGAGUAACACGUGAGUAACCUGCCCUUGACUUUGGGAUAACUUCAGGAAACUGGGGCUAAUACCGGAUAGGAGCUCCUGCUGCAUGGUGGGGGUUGGAAAGUUUCGGCGGUUGGGGAUGGACUCGCAGCUUAUCAGCUUGUUGGUGGGGUAGUGGCUUACCAAGGCUUUGACGGGUAGCCGGCCUGAGAGGGUGACCGGCCACAUUGGGACUGAGAUACGGCCCAGACUCCUACGGGAGGCAGCAGUGGGGAAUAUUGCACAAUGGGUGGAAGCCUGAUGCAGCAACGCCGUGUGCGGGAUGACGGCCUUCGGGUUGUAAACCGCUUUCGCUCAUGACGAAGCUUUGUGUGACGGUAGUGGGUAAAGAAGCACCGGCUAACUACGUG